Molecule: ribosomal RNA, 647 nt
Filed under: uncultured organism
Description: bacterial SSU rRNA
Rfam family: Bacterial small subunit ribosomal RNA
Source: RNAcentral
GGCUUAGAGUUUGAUCAUGGCUCAGGACGAACGCUGGCGGCGUGCCUAACACAUGCAAGUCGAACGGAAGUAUGAGCUUCGGUUUUUACUUUAGUGGUGAACGGGUGAGUAACGCGUGAGGAACCUGCCUUUCAGUGGGGGACAACAGUUGGAAACGACUGCUAAUACCGCAUAAUGUUUCCGGUCUGCAUGGACUGGAAACCAAAGCUUUAUGUGCUGAAAGAUGGCCUCGCGUCUGAUUAGAUAGUUGGUGGGGUAACGGCCUACCAAGUCAACGAUCAGUAGCCGGUCUGAGAGGAUGAACGGCCACAUUGGGACUGAGAUACGGCCCAGACUCCUACGGGAGGCAGCAGUGGGGAAUAUUGGGCAAUGGGGGAAACCCUGACCCAGCAACGCCGCGUGAAGGAAGGAGGCCUUCGGGUUGUAAACUUCUUUUACCAGGGACGAAGGACGUGACGGUACCUGGAGAAAAAGCAACGGCUAACUACGUGCCAGCAGCCGCGGUAAUACGUAGGUUGCAAGCGUUGUCCGGAUUUACUGGGUGUAAAGGGCGUGUAGGCGGAGCUGCAAGUCAGAUGUGAAAUCCCGGGGCUCAACCCCGGAACUGCAUUUGAAACUGUAGCCCUUGAGUAUCGGAGAGGCAAGCG